ACGGGAUCCAUCGGAGAGCUUGCUCGAAGAUGGUGAGAGUGGCGCACGGGUGCGUAACGCGUGAGCAACCUACCUCUAUCAGGGGGAUAGCCUCUCGAAAGAGAGAUUAACACCGCAUAACAUCAACAGUUCGCAUGUUCGGUUGAUUAAAUAUUUAUAGGAUAGAGAUGGGCUCGCGUGACAUUAGCUAGUUGGUAGGGUAACGGCUUACCAAGGCGACGAUGUCUAGGGGCUCUGAGAGGAGAAUCCCCCACACUGGUACUGAGACACGGACCAGACUCCUACGGGAGGCAGCAGUAAGGAAUAUUGGUCAAUGGGCGGAAGCCUGAACCAGCCAUGCCGCGUGCAGGAUGACUGCCCUAUGGGUUGUAAACUGCUUUUGUCCAGGAAUAAACCUAAAUACGUGUAUUUAGCUGAAUGUACUGGAAGAAUAAGGAUCGGCUAACUCCGUGCCAGCAGCCGCGGUAAUACGGAGGAUCCGAGCGUUAUCCGGAUUUAUUGGGUUUAAAGGGUGCGUAGGCGGCCUAUUAAGUCAGGGGUGAAAUACGGUGGCUCAACCAUCGCAGUGCCUUUGAUACUGAUGGGCUUGAAUCCAUUUGAAGUGGGCGGAAUAAGACAAGUAGCGGUGAAAUGCAUAGAUAUGUCUUAGAACUCCGAUUGCGAAGGCAGCUCACUAAGCUGGUAUUGACGCUGAUGCACGAAAGCGUGGGGAUCGAACAGGAUUAGAUACCCUGGUAGUCCACGCCCUAAACGAUGAUAACUCGA
RNAcentral lists this ribosomal RNA (765 nucleotides) under uncultured bacterium. Its description in RNAcentral is "bacterial SSU rRNA". It matches the Rfam family "Bacterial small subunit ribosomal RNA", at positions 66 to 820 of the family's 1533-position model. The record is from RNAcentral.